AGUGAACGCUGGCGGCAGGCCUAACACAUGCCAGUCGAGCGGCAGCGGGUCCUUCGGGCUGCCGGCGAGCGGCGGACGGGUGAGGAAUGCAUCGGAAUCUGCCCUGUCGUGGGGGAUAACCUAGGGAAACUUAGGCUAAUACCGCAUACGACCCACGGGUGAAAGCGGGGGAUCGCAAGACCUCGCGCGAUAGGAUGAGCCGAUGUCCGAUUAGCUAGUUGGCGGGGUAAAGGCCCACCAAGGCGACGAUCGGUAGCUGGUCUGAGAGGAUGAUCAGCCACACUGGGACUGAGACACGGCCCAGACUCCUACGGGAGGCAGCAGUGGGGAAUAUUGGACAAUGGGCGCAAGCCUGAUCCAGCCAUGCCGCGUGGGUGAAGAAGGCCUUCGGGUUGUAAAGCCCUUUUGUCCGGGAAGAAAUCGUCUGGGCUAAUACCCCGGGCGGAUGACGGUACCGGAAGAAUAAGCACCGGCUAACUUCGUG
Molecule: ribosomal RNA, 484 nt
Filed under: uncultured bacterium
Lineage: Bacteria
Description: partial 16S ribosomal RNA
Rfam family: Bacterial small subunit ribosomal RNA
Source: RNAcentral